UAGCCAGACUCCUACGGGAGGCAGCAGUGGGGAAUAUUGCACAAUGGGGGGAACCCUGAUGCAGCGACGCCGCGUGAGGGAAGAAGGUUUUCGGAUUGUAAACCUCUGUCCUCUGUGACGAUAAUGACGGUAGCAGAGGAGGAAGCCACGGCUAACUACGUGCCAGCAGCCGCGGUAAUACGUAGGUGGCGAGCGUUAUCCGGAAUUACUGGGUGUAAAGGGAGCGUAGGCGGGGAUGCAAGUUGGGUGUUAAAUCUACCGGCUCAACUGGUAGUCGCACUCAAAACUGCAGCUCUUGAGUGAAGUAGAGGCAGGCGGAAUUCCUAGUGUAGCGGUGAAAUGCGUAGAUAUUAGGAGGAACACCAGUGGCGAAGGCGGCCUGCUGGGCUUUUACUGACGCUGAGGCUCGAAAGUGUGGGGAGCAAACAGGAUUAGAUACCCUCGUA
This 446-nucleotide ribosomal RNA is filed under the name uncultured bacterium. RNAcentral's name for it is "bacterial SSU rRNA". It matches the Rfam family "Bacterial small subunit ribosomal RNA", at positions 328 to 792 of the family's 1533-position model. The record is from RNAcentral.